CGGUAACAUUUCUAGCUUGCUAGAAGAUGACGAGUGGCGGACGGGUGAGUAAUGCUUGGGAACUUGCCUUUGCGAGGGGGAUAACAGUUGGAAACGACUGCUAAUACCGCAUAAUGUCUUCGGACCAAACGGGGCUUCGGCUCCGGCGCAAAGAGAGGCCCAAGUGAGAUUAGCUAGUUGGUAAGGUAACGGCUUACCAAGGCGACGAUCUCUAGCUGUUCUGAGAGGAAGAUCAGCCACACUGGGACUGAGACACGGCCCAGACUCCUACGGGAGGCAGCAGUGGGGAAUAUUGCACAAUGGGGGAAACCCUGAUGCAGCCAUGCCGCGUGUGUGAAGAAGGCCUUCGGGUUGUAAAGCACUUUCAGUUGUGAGGAAAAGUUAGUAGUUAAUACCUGCUAGCCGUGACGUUAACAACAGAAGAAGCACCGGCUAACUCCGUGCCAGCAGCCGCGGUAAUACGGAGGGUGCGAGCGUUAAUCGGAAUUACUGGGCGUAAAGCGCACGCAGGCGGUUUGUUAAGCUAGAUGUGAAAGCCCCGGGCUCAACCUGGGAUGGUCAUUUAGAACUGGCAGACUAGAGUCUUGGAGAGGGGAGUGGAAUUCCAGGUGUAGCGGUGAAAUGCGUAGAUAUCUGGAGGAACAUCAGUGGCGAAGGCGACUCCCUGGCCAAAGACUGACGCUCAUGUGCGAAGGUGUGGGUAGCGAACAGGAUUAGAUACCCUGGUAGUCCACACCGUAAACGCUGUCUACUAGCUGUGUGUGCCUUUAAGGCGUGCGUAGCGAAGCUAACGCGCUAAGUAGACCGCCUGGGGAGUACGGCCGCAAGGUUAAAACUCAAAUGAAUUGACGGGGGCCCGCACAAGCGGUGGAGCAUGUGGUUUAAUUCGAUGCAACGCGAAGAACCUUACCUACACUUGACAUGCUGAGAAGUUACUAGAGAUAGUUUCGUGCCUUCGGGAACUCAGACACAGGUGCUGCAUGGCUGUCGUCAGCUCGUGUCGUGAGA
This 1008-nucleotide ribosomal RNA is filed under the name uncultured Alteromonas sp. RNAcentral's name for it is "bacterial SSU rRNA". It matches the Rfam family "Bacterial small subunit ribosomal RNA", at positions 67 to 1072 of the family's 1533-position model. Lineage: Bacteria; Pseudomonadati; Pseudomonadota; Gammaproteobacteria; Alteromonadales; Alteromonadaceae. The record is from RNAcentral.